GAGGACGCGGAGCUCGACGACGAGGAGCUGCUCGUGCUGCUGGUGCUGGUGCUGGUCUUCCCGUUCUUCUCCUGAGUGUCCACCUUGAUGAGCCUGCUGAUGUGUUGGAGAAAGCUUCUGGUCAAGGACUUGCCAAAGCACAGUGAGACCCUGAGCCGCCACGUUCCCGGGACGCGUCUUUGCAACUCCUGCUCCCCCUCCCCCAGCACCCUUCCGGUCGGCGCUGACCCCUCCGUGUAGGAGGGCUCGGUUCUGCCAGGGUGCCUUCUGCAUUACAGAAAACCCGUCCAGCAAACCCUCUGCACCCAGCCGAGGGUCUGCAGGCUGUGACAUGGAAGGAACAGCUUGACCACCCAUGGUCUUCUACCUCUGAGGGCAGGGCCGAGGCCUGUGGGGGGUAGGGGUGUGGUGGUCCCGCGAUGGCCCAGGCACCUCCAGGACUCCGGCAUCUGCUUUCUCGCUCACGCACAGCUCACUCCUGAAGCUCCCAGCGAUCCUGUGAGACCCAGACGUGGAGGGCAGCCUUCUGCAUGGUUCCCGUGGAAAUGAGAGGCUCCUACCCUGUGCUGCUCCUGAGGGAGUGCUUCCGAGACCUAAGCUGGCUGCCAUCCGCAAUGUCGGUGGGGAGGCGGGGCUGCUGGUGACCAGCGUCGUCCCUCGGACCCUCUUCUUCUGGGCCACGCACACCACCGAGGCGUGGGCCUCGGGGCCUUCCCACGGGGCCUUCCUGGGGUGAGCCUGGUGACGGGGGCUGGUCCCCGGUUGUGGUCUCAUCCUCCUGCAUCGGCUCGGUCCAUGGGGCAGAUCCACAGCGCUACCUCACAGGCCACAUCUUCGGAGACAGACAGACGUGGGAUGCGGCGCAGACGGUGAGGCCUGUGGC
Long non-coding RNA from Zalophus californianus (California sea lion), 883 nucleotides. RefSeq lists it as uncharacterized. The record is from RefSeq and is a predicted model, not a curated record. The transcript has 3 exons. Lineage: Eukaryota; Metazoa; Chordata; Mammalia; Carnivora; Otariidae.